This 548-nucleotide ribosomal RNA is filed under the name Mitridae sp. BOLD:ACT1687. RNAcentral describes it as "partial 16S ribosomal RNA". It matches the Rfam family "Bacterial large subunit ribosomal RNA", at positions 1798 to 2613 of the family's 2925-position model. The record is from RNAcentral. Lineage: Eukaryota; Metazoa; Mollusca; Gastropoda; Neogastropoda; Mitridae.
GCCUGUUUAUCAAAAACAUCGCUCCCUGUAUAGUAUUAAAUAGGGAGUCGGACCUGCCCAGUGAAUUUUUAACGGCCGCGGUACUCUGACCGUGCAAAGGUAGCAUAAUAAUUUGCCUUAUAAUUGAGGGCUAGUAUGAAUGGUUUGACGAGAAUAAAGCUGUCUCUUUGCAAUUUGCUAGAAAUUUAUUUGUAGAUGAAAAAGUCUACAUAUUAUUAAAAGACAAGAAGACCCUAUCGAGCUUAAAAAAAUUUAGUAGGUUUAAACAUGUUAAUUAAAUCAAAAAAAUUAUCUACUAAAAAUUUUAGUUGGGGCGACUGAGGAACAAAUAAAGCUUCUUUAAACAUAAUUUUUGUUUAUUAACUUUGAUCCAGAAAUUUCUGAUUAAUAAAAUUAGUUACCGUAGGGAUAACAGCAUUAUCUUUUUUGAGAGCUCUUAUCGAAAAAAAGGUUUGUGACCUCGAUGUUGGACCAGAAUAUCCUAAAGAUGCAGCAGUCUUUAAGGGUUGGUCUGUUCGACCAUUAAUAUUCUACGUGAUCUGAGUUCA